This 367-nucleotide ribosomal RNA is filed under the name uncultured bacterium. RNAcentral describes it as "bacterial SSU rRNA". It matches the Rfam family "Bacterial small subunit ribosomal RNA", at positions 28 to 396 of the family's 1533-position model. The record is from RNAcentral.
GACGAACGCUGGCGGCGUGCUUAACACAUGCAAGUCGAGCGGUAAGGCCCUUUCGGGGGUACACGAGCGGCGAACGGGUGAGUAACACGUGGGUGACCUGCCCUCAGCUCUGGGAUAAGCCUGGGAAACCGGGUCUAAUACUGGAUAUGACUCCAUGACGCAUGUUGUGGGGUGAAAGCCUUGUGCGGCUGAGGAUGGGCCCGCGGCCUAUCAGCUUGUUGGUGGGGUGANGGCCUACCAAGGCGACGACGGGUAGCCGGCCUGAGAGGGCGACCGGCCACACUGGGACUGAGACACGGCCCAGACUCCUACGGGAGGCAGGCAGUGGGGAAUCUUGCGCAAUGGGCGAAAGCCUGACGCAGCGACG